UACGUAGGGAGCAAGCGUUGUCCGGAAUCAUUGGGCGUAAAGCGCGCGUAGGCGGCCCGGUAAGUCCGCUGUAAAAGUCAAAGGCUCAACCUUUGAAUGUCAGUGGAUACUGCCGGGCUAGAGUCCGGAAGAGGCGAGUGGAACUCCUGGUGUAGCGGUGGAAUGCGCAGAUAUCAGGAAGAACACCGGCGGCGAAGGCAGCUCGCUGGAACGGUACUGACGCUGAGGCGCGAAAGCGUGGGGAGCGAACAGG
Molecule: ribosomal RNA, 253 nt
Filed under: uncultured bacterium
Lineage: Bacteria
Description: partial 16S ribosomal RNA
Rfam family: Bacterial small subunit ribosomal RNA
Source: RNAcentral